CAGGCUCAGGGGACCGACAAAAGGCACGGAUUUGCAUAUGCUAAUUGCCGCAUGCUCGAAAGCCUCCGUGUUUGUGUAUCUUUAAAGCAAAAAGGACGUACGAAGAGAUUAGAAUUGGGCAAGACACCGCUUCGGAUGGAGGACUGCCAUCUGUAGAAGAGGACACCUGUCCACUCUUAAGGGAAUGCCCACCCCUAGACAGCAUCAGCACCAAAAGGAGCAGGAGGCUUGGAUGAGUGGCUGCCGGAGAGCCGAAGCAGCCCAUCUUUUCAGAACCCGUGCCUGAUUUGCGAGGGCUCUCAAGGCUCCUGCUGGGAAUUCGCUCCAUCAGAGGCUGAUGCCAUCCCUCGGUAAAUUACGCCAAGAUAUAAUGAAGGAGGAGAAAUCAGGACCUGGCGACGGGACUCCCUGGGGGACCUUAAUUCAAAUGGUGCUGGAGCUGAGUUCGCAGGACCGCGGGGAAAGCGCAGGGAGCCUCGCCGGCCGCCGGUGGGUCAGUCAGUCGCAGGUGCGCAGCAGCAGGGGACGCGCUGGCGGGCGGGGAUGGGAACCGCACAGAGGCCACCCCUCCCGAAUUCUGGCCCCGGUCUGGGGAUGGGAAAUCUGUCAGUUUUGUUUUCCCCUGCACGGGCUUCUCAAAAAGGUCUUUCUGCGAGAAACCUCUGUGGAGGUAGGCAUGGUCGUAUUCUCAGCCCGCUGGAGGGAUCUGCCCUGGCCGAAAGGGCAGGUCCAGCUAUUUCCAGAAUGGCAGGGACUGCGACGUUCCAGGAGAAAAAGUAGCAGAUUUGCCCAAGUGCUGACAUGGUUGAAGGUGGGGAUGCGAACCUGGGCCUUCCGACACUAAGCACUCCAGGGCGAGCAGAGCCACCCACCUUAGUUUCCCCCAGUGUUGUGCUGAAAGUUUCUCCCACAUCUUUUGACUACCUCCAUUCAGCUUGAGAGAAAAGUCCUUUGCUUCUGGGAAGAAAUCCAGUGGUGAAGAACAGGCAUGUCAUUUUGUCUCCACCCACCCAGCGUGAGCUGGAGCUCCCCGAGAAGUUCACGAAGAUUUAAACCUUAGAAACACAUUAUAAAAGUCACAUGUGUACAAACAUAUAAAUGCACAAUAAAUAUCCCUCUAA
Varanus komodoensis (Komodo dragon) is the source of this 1121-nucleotide long non-coding RNA. RefSeq lists it as uncharacterized. The transcript is spliced from 3 exons. Lineage: Eukaryota; Metazoa; Chordata; Lepidosauria; Squamata; Varanidae. The record is from RefSeq and is a predicted model, not a curated record.